GUCCUUGGUCUUGGUCCUGGUCUUGGGUCCUGGUCCUGGUGCUCAUCCUGGUACUGGUCCUGGUCUUAGUCUGG
RNAcentral lists this microRNA precursor (74 nucleotides) under Chinchilla lanigera (long-tailed chinchilla). RNAcentral's name for it is "miRNA (ENSCLAG00000021078.1)". The record is from RNAcentral. Lineage: Eukaryota; Metazoa; Chordata; Mammalia; Rodentia; Chinchillidae.